Long non-coding RNA from Hippocampus comes (tiger tail seahorse), 1130 nucleotides. RefSeq lists it as uncharacterized. The transcript is spliced from 4 exons. The record is from RefSeq and is a predicted model, not a curated record. NCBI's taxonomy places the organism in Eukaryota, Metazoa, Chordata, Actinopteri, Syngnathiformes, Syngnathidae.
UCUCCAGCAGGUGGCAGUGGAGGGCUUUUCCUCCAGCAGUGCACACCUGCUGCCAAUUGCAUCAUCCUGUUCAGGCAAGUAUUGAAGGACUGCCAAGAUCCCAUGUCUCUGUUGGCUUAUUGACUUUAUUAUUGCUCUUGCUCAAGGGUUGUUUUUGAGACCUCUCAUUGUCGUUUUUUGCUCUCAAGCCUCUCGCCGCAAACGCAGCUAAUUGGGACCCAGGUGCGGCAUGGAACGGGUCAUCCAGGACUUCCUGCGAGAGGGGCGCAGAUGCAACGGCAGCACCUUGGGACGACCGGGCUGCUGAUUAAUGUCGCCCCCCUACAUGAUAGAUCUCCACGCAAAGUAGAAGCCGUUUAAUCUCCUCCGCGACGGCUCGGAAGGGGCUCAUCUCUCUCGCUGGGCCGUGAAUUAUCGCCCUCACCUGUCAUCGGAUUCCAGCGGCCGGCCAGAACACUUUCAGAAGCACUGAGCGAUAUUCCCAAGCUGACCUAAUAAGAGUCCAUCGGCUGCCACGGGAGUAAUACCGUCGAAAAAAGCGGCGGCGAUAGUGUGAUCUGGCAAGAGAAAGAAGCCGUCUCGCUUGGGCGCAUCUGGUGCCGUUCUCGCCAUCUUCCAGGAAGGUUGUUAUUUCUGGGAACGCGGCCCACCGGUAAGUCCGUAGAACAUCCCGAACGGCACGGACGCUCCGCGGAUUCCUCCAGAGCGCUGGAGCGUGCACAGGGUACAAAAACAAAAAAACAGCCCAAAGAAACCCUCCUGUACUAAAAAGUGCAUUUAUUUUUUUACUGUCAGUUAUUUACAAGACUCAUGAUAAAUUUGCCACAACGAAAAAAUAACUUUGAGCCAAAAAUGGCUACCAGCAGACAACCUGUCACGACAUCUUUCAAAGUUGCAUUUCCAAACCCUGCAAAACCAACCAACCAAAUAAAAAUGGAUUAAUUUCCAAAAACCUAUCAAUGCCAUACGCAUUUUCCUGUCGUCGUCGCCUUCCGGCUGGCACGCAACACUUGAAGGUCACCUCAUGUUGUUUUGGGGAUCGUUUGCCCUCAAGAAACCAACUUUUGACUCCUGAUAACUUCGAAAAACUUACUUUAACACGUAUUAGACAGCCCUCUUAAAAAAAAAAA